RNAcentral lists this ribosomal RNA (1326 nucleotides) under Bacillus aerius. RNAcentral describes it as "bacterial SSU rRNA". It matches the Rfam family "Bacterial small subunit ribosomal RNA", at positions 59 to 1369 of the family's 1533-position model. Lineage: Bacteria; Bacillati; Bacillota; Bacilli; Caryophanales; Bacillaceae. The record is from RNAcentral.
CAGUCGAGCGGACAGAAGGGAGCUUGCUCCCGGAUGUUAGCGGCGGACGGGUGAGUAACACGUGGGUAACCUGCCUGUAAGACUGGGAUAACUCCGGGAAACCGGAGCUAAUACCGGAUAGUUCCUUGAACCGCAUGGUUCAAGGAUGAAAGACGGUUUCGGCUGUCACUUACAGAUGGACCCGCGGCGCAUUAGCUAGUUGGUGAGGUAACGGCUCACCAAGGCGACGAUGCGUAGCCGACCUGAGAGGGUGAUCGGCCACACUGGGACUGAGACACGGCCCAGACUCCUACGGGAGGCAGCAGUAGGGAAUCUUCCGCAAUGGACGAAAGUCUGACGGAGCAACGCCGCGUGAGUGAUGAAGGUUUUCGGAUCGUAAAGCUCUGUUGUUAGGGAAGAACAAGUGCAAGAGUAACUGCUUGCACCUUGACGGUACCUAACCAGAAAGCCACGGCUAACUACGUGCCAGCAGCCGCGGUAAUACGUAGGUGGCAAGCGUUGUCCGGAAUUAUUGGGCGUAAAGGGCUCGCAGGCGGUUUCUUAAGUCUGAUGUGAAAGCCCCCGGCUCAACCGGGGAGGGUCAUUGGAAACUGGGAAACUUGAGUGCAGAAGAGGAGAGUGGAAUUCCACGUGUAGCGGUGAAAUGCGUAGAGAUGUGGAGGAACACCAGUGGCGAAGGCGACUCUCUGGUCUGUAACUGACGCUGAGGAGCGAAAGCGUGGGGAGCGAACAGGAUUAGAUACCCUGGUAGUCCACGCCGUAAACGAUGAGUGCUAAGUGUUAGGGGGUUUCCGCCCCUUAGUGCUGCAGCUAACGCAUUAAGCACUCCGCCUGGGGAGUACGGUCGCAAGACUGAAACUCAAAGGAAUUGACGGGGGCCCGCACAAGCGGUGGAGCAUGUGGUUUAAUUCGAAGCAACGCGAAGAACCUUACCAGGUCUUGACAUCCUCUGACAACCCUAGAGAUAGGGCUUUCCCUUCGGGGACAGAGUGACAGGUGGUGCAUGGUUGUCGUCAGCUCGUGUCGUGAGAUGUUGGGUUAAGUCCCGCAACGAGCGCAACCCUUGAUCUUAGUUGCCAGCAUUCAGUUGGGCACUCUAAGGUGACUGCCGGUGACAAACCGGAGGAAGGUGGGGAUGACGUCAAAUCAUCAUGCCCCUUAUGACCUGGGCUACACACGUGCUACAAUGGACAGAACAAAGGGCUGCGAGACCGCAAGGUUUAGCCAAUCCCACAAAUCUGUUCUCAGUUCGGAUCGCAGUCUGCAACUCGACUGCGUGAAGCUGGAAUCGCUAGUAAUCGCGGAUCAGCAUGCCGCGGUGAAUAC